AAUCUACCCAGCCUCUACGGAAUAACUCAGGGAAACUUGUGCUAAUACCGUAUACGUCCGAUAGGAGAAAGAUUUAUCGGAGUUGGAUGAGCCCGCGUUGGAUUAGCUAGUUGGUGGGGUAAUGGCCUACCAAGGCGACGAUCCAUAGCUGGUCUGAGAGGAUGAUCAGCCACACUGGGACUGAGACACGGCCCAGACUCCUACGGGAGGCAGCAGUGGGGAAUAUUGGACAAUGGGCGCAAGCCUGAUCCAGCCAUGCCGCGUGAGUGAUGAAGGCCCUAGGGUUGUAAAGCUCUUUCACCGGUGAAGAUAAUGACGGUAACCGGAGAAGAAGCCCCGGCUAACUUCGUGCCAGCAGCCGCGGUAAUA
This 369-nucleotide ribosomal RNA is filed under the name Aminobacter aminovorans. Its description in RNAcentral is "bacterial SSU rRNA". It matches the Rfam family "Bacterial small subunit ribosomal RNA", at positions 123 to 525 of the family's 1533-position model. Lineage: Bacteria; Pseudomonadati; Pseudomonadota; Alphaproteobacteria; Hyphomicrobiales; Phyllobacteriaceae. The record is from RNAcentral.